RNAcentral lists this long non-coding RNA (989 nucleotides) under Homo sapiens (human). RNAcentral's name for it is "HSALNT0355453". Lineage: Eukaryota; Metazoa; Chordata; Mammalia; Primates; Hominidae. The record is from RNAcentral.
CUCUGCGUCUGGAGAACACAGGACGUCCACAGGAAAGUUCUCCCUCCUGCACUCCCGGCUGGCUCUGAAAAUUAUGAAGGCAGAGACGUCCGUGCCUGAUACUGUCCUGGCAGCCACGUGCCCUCAUACACUUGCCCAGACCCUGAAUGUGCUACACGGAGUGACCCCAAUUACACCGUGGGCCCCGGGUGACUGCGACAUCUCUCUUUUCCUUAAAAUAAAGGCUCUAAAAUUGUGUGAUUCCACCUCCCUGAGGCUAAGCGAAAGAGCCGCGUCUGCCCCUGUCCUUCCCGGGGGCUGGCAGGGAGUGGGUGCCCGGCGGUGACUCAGCCCUGCAGCCUCCCAGCCCUUCCCCGUAUGCGGGCAGGUGAUGCGGACGCCUCCGACCCUCGUGGGGUUUGUGGAGAGCGUUGAUCAGCGCUGCCGUCAGAACAGGACCUGUGCGAGGCCUCGCAGAUGCCGGGAGCCGGGCGGUGCUCUCGGUGCUUCUCAUCAAAUCCACUGGCUCUUCGAGAGGAAGCACAUGUCACAGCCCAGCUCAAACAAGAAGCAAGAAAAUCACUCUUCAUUUUGGAAUUGUAAAAUAAAGUAGAAAUUAUCCUCAGGCUAGAGUGACCUUCCCGUCCUGCCCCAGCCACCCCCCACCUCCCAGCACCUGCCGGUAACAGCCCUGCACACAGCCCCGAGACCCUCCGCCAAACCCAGCCCACCACCCCCGGGAGGGCUGUGGAAGAGGCUAGAGAGCGCAUCCCCUCUGGCUCCUGGGGUGGAGGCCUGCUGUGGGUUGGCUGGAAUCAGCCCCCCUCCCCCGUGUCCUGGGCCCCUGCAGCCCUGCGAGGCGGACACCUAGCCACCCCUCAUCCCAGGGAAGCCAGGGCCAGGGAAGGGCCCAGGAGGGGAGGGUUCGCCCUUCCUGCUGGAUGUCGUUCCUUUAAAAAUCCCUGCCGCUGGCCGGGCGUGGUGGCUCACGCCUGGAAUCCCAGCACUUU